CUGUUCUGAUUAUAGAUGCUGAAGACAGUGACAUUGCUCAGACAUCUCCAGGUUGCCAAAGAAAGCGUACUGCAGUUUUACCCGAAAGCUAAUAUCAUUGCCUACCAUGACAGCGUCAUGAACCCUGACUAUAAUGUGGAAUUUUUUCGACAGUUUAUAUUUGUUAAGAAUGCUUUAGAUAACAGAGCUGCCCGAAACCAUGUUAAAAGGAUGUGUCUGGCAGCCGAUGUCCCUCUUACCCAGAGUGGAACUGCUGGUUACCUUGGACAAGUAACUACUGUCAAAAAGGGUGUGUCAGAAUGUUAUGAAUGUCAUCCUAAGCCAACCCAGAGGACGUUUCCUGGCUGUACAAUUCGUAACACACCUUGAGAACCUAUUCAUUGCAUUGUUUGGGCAAAGUAUUUGUUCAACCAGCUGUUCGGUGAAGAAGAUGCUGAUCAAGAAGUAUCCCCUGACAGAGCUGACCCUGAAGCUGCCUGGGAGCCAACAGAAGCUGAAGCCAGAGCCAGAGCCUCUAAUGAAGACAGUGACAUUAAACGUAUUUUCACUAAGGAAUGGGCCAAAUCAACUGGAUAUGAUCCAAUUAAACUUUUUACCAAGCUUUUUAAAGAUGAUAUCAGAUAUCUAUUGACAAUGGACAAAUUAUGGCAGAAAAGGAAACCUCCAGUUCCAUUGGACUGGACUGAAGUACAAAGUCAAGGAGAAGAAACCAAUGCAUCAGAUCAACAAAAUGAACCCCAGUUAGGCCAAAAGACCAGCAGGUUCUAGAUGUAAACAGCUAUGCAAGUCUUUUUUCAAAGAGCAUUGAGACAUUGAGAGUUCAUUUAGCAGAAAAGGGGGAUGGAGCUGAGCUCAUAUGGGACAAGGAGCAGUGGAUUUUGUCACCUCAGCUGCAAACCUCAGGAUGCAUAUUUUCAGUAUGAAUAUGAAGAGCAGAUUUGAUAUAAAAUCAAAGGCAGGAAACAUCAUUCCUGCUAUCACCACUACUAAUGCAGUGAUUGCUGGGUUGAUAGUCUUGGAAGGGUUGAAGAUUUUAUCAGGAAAAAUAGAGCAGUGUAGAACAAUUUUUUUGAAUAAAUAACCAAACCCAAGAAAGAAGCUCCUUGUGCCUUGUGCACUGGAUCCUCCCAACCCCAACUGUUACGUCUGUGCCAGUAAGCCAGAAGUGACUGUGCGGCUGAAUGUCCAUAAAGUGACUGUCCUCACCUUACAGGAUAAGAUAGUGAAAGAAAAAUUUUCUGUGGUAGCACCAGAUGUCCAAAUUGAAGAUGGGAAAGGAAAAAUCCUAACAUCUUCAGAAGAGGGAGAGACAGACAUUAAUAAUCACAAGAAGUUGUCGGAAUUUGGGAUUAGAAAUGGCAGCCGGCUUCAAGCAGACGACGUCCUUCAGGACUACAGUUUACUGAUCAACAUCCUUUAUAGUGAAGAUCUAGGAAAGGGUGUUGAAUUUGAAGUUGUUGGUGACGCCCCAAAAAAGUAGGGCCUAAACAAGCUGAAGGUGCUGCUAAAAGCAUAACCAAUGGCAAUGAUGAUGGAGCCCAGCCCUCCAUCUCCACGGCACAAGAGCAAGAUGACGUGCUUAUAGUUGAUUCAGAUGAAGAAGGUUCUUCAAAUAAUGCUGAUAUCACUGAAGAGGAGAGAAGUUGUAAGAGGAAAUUGGAUGAGAAAGAGAAUGUCAGUGCAAAGAGGUCACGUAUGGAACAGACAGAAGAACUUGAUGAUGUGAUAGCAUUAGAUUGAAGAGCAGUGCCUCUUGACAGACCCUCUUUACUACAUUAAUUUAUCUGGGCAGAACCAGAUUAUUCGUUAUGUCCUUUGUU
Molecule: RNA transcript, 1820 nt
Organism: Nycticebus coucang (slow loris)
Lineage: Eukaryota; Metazoa; Chordata; Mammalia; Primates; Lorisidae
Gene name: SUMO-activating enzyme subunit 2-like
Exons: 1
Source: RefSeq, a predicted model, not a curated record